AGUGAACGCUGGCGGUAGGCCUAACACAUGCAAGUCGAAUGGCAGCACAGUAAGAGCUUGCUCUUACGGGUGGCGAGUGGCGGACGGGUGAGGAAUACAUCGGAAUCUACUUUUUCGUGGGGGAUAACGUAGGGAAACUUACGCUAACACCGCAUACGACCUACGGGUGAAAGCAGGGGAUCUUCGGACCUUGCGCGAUUGAAUGAGCCGAUGUCGGAUUAGCUAGUUGGCGGGGUAAAGGCCCACCAAGGCGACGAUCCGUAGCUGGUCUGAGAGGAUGAUCAGCCACACUGGAACUGAGACACGGUCCAGACUCCUACGGGAGGCAGCAGUGGGGAAUAUUGGACAAUGGGCGCAAGCCUGAUCCAGCCAUACUGCGUGGGUGAAGAAGGCCUUCGGGUUGUAAAGCCCUUUUGUUGGGAAAGAAAAGCAGCAGGUUAAUACCCCGCUGUUCUGACGGUACCCAAAGAAUAAGCACCGGCUAACUUCGUG
This 492-nucleotide ribosomal RNA is filed under the name uncultured bacterium. RNAcentral describes it as "partial 16S ribosomal RNA". It matches the Rfam family "Bacterial small subunit ribosomal RNA", at positions 29 to 507 of the family's 1533-position model. The record is from RNAcentral.